AAUUCCAACGGUCUUGUACGUAUAUUACUCCUAUAUAUUUUCCUCUUCAACAAAUCUAUUACACCUUCACUUCAUUUUUACAUUUUCAUUCUCUCUCUAAAUUUUCUCUAACUUCUCUCUUAAAUUUCAUACUUUCAACUUAAUCUCCAUACAAAAAGUGGUAAGUGUUUAUAUGCAAGGUGUACAUCUUAAAUUACCCGAGGUCGCAAAUUCGCUGCUGGGUGUACAUCUUCUUUAUAUGCAAGUGACCCAACUGGUUUGAGAGAUGUCACUUACACAUCUUCAUCUUCAUCUAGUACAGGACGCUCUCGUCCAUCUCAAAGACAGGAAACCGAUGAUGAGUAUGAAG
This 349-nucleotide long non-coding RNA is filed under the name Trifolium pratense (red clover). Its description in RNAcentral is "long non-coding RNA (TPRA_LNC012749)". Lineage: Eukaryota; Viridiplantae; Streptophyta; Magnoliopsida; Fabales; Fabaceae. The record is from RNAcentral.